GGUUGACCUCGGAUCAGGUAGGAGUUACCCGCUGAACUUAAGCAUAUCAAUAAGCGGAGGAAAAGAAACCAACCGGGAUUGCCUCAGUAACGGCGAGUGAAGCGGCAAGAGCUCAAAUUUGAAAUCUGGCCCCUGGGGGUCCGAGUUGUAAUUUGCAGAGGAUGCUUCGGGUGCGGUCCCCAUCUAAGUGCCC
RNAcentral lists this ribosomal RNA (193 nucleotides) under Talaromyces aurantiacus. RNAcentral's name for it is "partial 28S ribosomal RNA". It matches the Rfam family "Eukaryotic large subunit ribosomal RNA", at positions 1 to 190 of the family's 3401-position model. The record is from RNAcentral. Lineage: Eukaryota; Fungi; Ascomycota; Eurotiomycetes; Eurotiales; Trichocomaceae.